UUAGUGCAACUGUAUAAAAGGGAUUGAAGGAGGGAAAGAAGAGAAAGUUAUAUUUGAUUUUCUAUGAUUCAAGUUUUUAGGUUGUUUUCGGUAUGAUUUACUGAUUCUGGAUGGUUGGAUUGGAUUUACAGUAGUAGGAGAAUUACAAAAUGGUAUUAAGAAUAGGCCGUCCUGAACUGGAAAGAAAGGAGAAGAAGGAUAUUGAUGAAAGAACAGCUGGGUACUGAAGUUAACAACGUGAAUGACAUUCUUUGUCAUAACAGUACUUUAUUUUGUUUUUGCUUUAUUCUGUAACCUCUAUUGCUUAAUUAUGUAACCUCAUGUUGGUGACAAGGUUUUCUACCUUCCUCAAAGUCACUUGGAACAGGUUGAAGCAUACACUAAUCAAGAAUUUGAUAUACAAUUGCCAAAGCACAAUUUGCCUUCACAAAUUCUUUGUCGGGUUGUAUACAUGCAGUUAAAGG
This is a long non-coding RNA of Papaver somniferum (opium poppy), 464 nucleotides long. RefSeq lists it as uncharacterized. The transcript is spliced from 3 exons. NCBI's taxonomy places the organism in Eukaryota, Viridiplantae, Streptophyta, Magnoliopsida, Ranunculales, Papaveraceae. The record is from RefSeq and is a predicted model, not a curated record.